AGGAUCUGUCAAGGUGCUGCUGUGACUGGGCAGCAGUGUGAAGGAGCAGGAGAGGAAGUCAGACGCUGCAGUGAGCAGAGGUGUCCUGCGCCUUAUGAAAUAUGUCCUGAAGACUAUUUGAUGUCAAUGGUGUGGAAAAGGACCCCAGCUGGGGACAUGGCAUUCAAUCGAUGUCCUCUCAAUGCCACAGGCACCACUAGCAGACGCUGCUCUCUCAGUGUUCAUGGAGUGGCCUUUUGGGAACAACCAAGCUUUGCUAGAUGCAUAUCAAACGAGUACA
Non-coding RNA from Sturnus vulgaris (Common starling), 280 nucleotides. NCBI's taxonomy places the organism in Eukaryota, Metazoa, Chordata, Aves, Passeriformes, Sturnidae. The record is from RefSeq and is a predicted model, not a curated record.